CUUGACUUUCCUGACCAAUCGUAGAAGAGUCUCCUUUGAAAUUGCAGGAGAAUUAACGAAUCAGAGAGCGUGCCAGUCGGGGUCCAAGCCGCCCUUACCAGUUAACUAGGUCGGCCCCCUUUCAGCCUCUGUCUCAGUUAGCGUCGCUCCUGCGGGGACGCGUCCACUGUGGAGGCCAGUUCGUUCUCGCCGGAGAAGGCCCUGGUCUGCCUCUCUGGCCUCUCCGCAGUCUCGGCGGCUACCUAUCGAUUUACCUUGGGGCGCCGCCGCCAAGGUUUGGAUCCAGCAUCUACUGCUGUUGCCACUACUAGGUCAAGCACCAUGCUGUUUACCUCAUUUUCAAAUGCUUCAUCCUCCACUGCUGCUACUGGGAUCUCAUUUGGUUCCCCGACAACUUCGACUGGAACACUUGGUGGUACAACUUUGGGAUUUGGAUUAAAAUUCCCUGGAGCCGGUGGAGCAAUGCCUGUUGCAUCUACUACAACAUCAACUACCACUACCACCACUGUCACCACCACUACCACCACUACCAUCACCAGUGGAUUUACCUUGAACAUAAAACCACUGACAUCAACUGGGAUUGAUAACACUGUUCCAGUCGGCAUUACUUCUAUACCUUUUACUUCGACUGUUAAUGCAAUCAUAACUCCUGUGAUGACAUAUGGUCAGCUGGAUGGUCUGGUAAACAAAUGGAGCCUUGAGUUAGAGGAUCAAGAGAAACACUUUCUUCACCAGGCCACCCAGGUCAAUGUUUGGGACAAUACUUUGAUUGAGAAUGGUGAGAAGAUUACUGCUUUGCAUGGAGAAGUAGAAAAAGUGAAACUGGAUCAGAAAAGGCUGGAAAAAGAAUUGGAUUUUAUCCUGUCACAGCAGAAGGAAUUGGAAGAUCUCUUGAUCCCUUUGGAGGAGUCUGUUAAGGACCAGAAUGGGUCUGUGUAUCUGCAGCACACAGAUGAGCGUGAGAGCACUUACAAGUUAGCUGAAAAUAUAGAUGCUCAGCUGAAACGAAUGGCACAAGAUCUCAAGGACAUUAUUGAGCACCUGAAUACCUUUGGAAGUCCUGCUGACACUACUGAGCCGCUCCAGCAGAUCUGCAAAAUUCUGAAUGCUCAUAUGGAUUCUCUGCAAUGGAUUAAUCAGACAUCAGACACACCUGCCAUAUAUAGAAGUUUCCAGGCUAAGGGUUGAAUCAGAGCUGCAGCUGCCAGCCUGCACCACAACCAUGGCAGUGCUAAAUCUGACCACAUGUGCAACUUAUGCUGCAGCUUGUGGCAAUGCCAGAUCCUUAGCCCACUAAGCAAGGCCAGUGAUCAAACCGGCAUCAUCAUGGACGCUGUGUUGGGUUCUUAACCCGCUGAGCCACAACAGAAUUCCAGGCCUCUGUUUUAGAAGAGUUUGUGAAGAAUUGGUAUUGAUUUGUCUUUAGAUAUUUAGUAGAAUUCUCCAGUGAAACCAUCUGAGCCUGAAUAUUUCUCUUCUGGGAACUUUUUAAUUACUAAGUUAAUUUUUUUCAUGCUUCUGGACUAGAUUAUUCAUAUUAUCUUGGUUGAGUUUUCUUAAUUUGUGGUGUAUUUCUACUGUCAUUUAAUUUAUAGGCAUAAAGUUGUUCAUAGAAAUAUUAUCCUUUUAAUGGCUACAGGUUCUGUCAUGAUAUACCCUCUUUUAUUCCUUAUAUUGAUGAUUUGUGUUCUCAAUUUUUUUUCCUGUCUUGGUACAGAGGUUUUUGUCUCGUUAUUGAGGUUUAUCAAUUUAUUGAUGUUUUUUUUUUCUGAAGAACUAGCCUUUUUGGUUUCCUUGCUUUUUCUCAAUAGUGUUCCUUUUUUUUCAAUUUCUGUGAAAACUACUCUUUAAUAUUUCCUUCUAUCUCCUUGCUUUGGGUUCAUUUUACUCUUUUUCAGUUUUCUUAAGUUAGGAACUUAGAUUUUUGGUUUGAGACCUCUCCUUGUCUCUAAAAGUAUUCUCUUUCAAGGGCUUCCUGAUAAUCGGCAUUUUUGAAACCUUGGUUGUCAUCUCUAAUCAUCAAUUUCACUAAUGCUUCUCUAUCUGUUCUAAAGCUCCAUGUUAACAAAUAUCUGCACAUAGGAUAUGCCAAAAGCACCUCAAAUUAAAUUUGUAUAAGUUUAUCAUUAUCUUCACUCUCUCCUGGGCCUCCCAGAUCUGUAACUCCUUCAACUUUUCUUUUUCUCAGCUGAUUGCUACUAUUUAUUCAGAGACUUAAGAUAGGCUGUUUCAAUUUCUUUAGUAAGUGAUUAUGAUUAUACUUUUUAAGUAGCUCUUGAAUCUUUUCUUUUCAGUAGAUAACUGCCACUGCUUUAUUUCAGAUCUUCGUCCUCUCCUACUUUGAAAGUGGAAUAGUUUUAUAUCAUUUAUGAAAAAUAUCAGUUCCUUGUCCAUACCCCAUUUCCUACUCCCCAGAAGCAUAUUCAUUAUUUUAGCUAUUUUUUUAAAAAAAAGCAAAAUAUAAGUAUCUCUAAAAACCAUGUAUACUACUACUUUUUAGUUUUUCCAUUAUAGGCCUUCUGUACUGACUUCCCAAAAUAAGAGGUGAGGGUUUAACUCUUUUAUACCACUUUCUUUCUUUCUUUCUUUCCUUCUUUCUCUCUCUCUCUUCCUUCCUCCCUUCCUCCCCUCACCACUCCCUUCCUUCCUUCUUUCAUGUCUUUCUUUCUAUUUAUCUAUCUAUAAUAUACAUAAUACAUGCAUACAAUAUACAAAUAUAUAUAAUUAUGCAAUUCAUAUAAUAUAUAUACCACCAUACCACCCUCAUUUUUUUUUACGGCCGCACCCACAUCACAUGGAAGUUCCCAGGCUAGGGGCUGAACUGGAGCUGCAGCUGCCAGCCUAUGCCACAGACACAGCAACACGGGCUCUGAGCCACAUCUGUGACCUACACCACAGCUCAUGGCAAUGCCAGAUCCUUAACCCACUAAGUAAAGCCAGGGAUCGUACCCGCAUCCUUGUGGAUACUGUCGGGUUCAUUACCAGUGAGCUGCAGUGAGAACUCCUGAAAAGAUCUUUAAUCUACCCUCACACUUAAUGGAUAAUAUUGAACGUCAAAUUCUAGCUUGGAAAUAAUUUUCUCUUAAACUUUUGGCAAUAUUAUCCAUUAUCUUCUAGUUUUGAGGGCACUUUAAUUCCUGAACUUUUUUGUUAACUCUUCAUUUUUAUGUUUUAUUUAUUCUACGGAAGUUUUAAGGAUCACAAUACUAAAAUUUCAGCUGACCUGCCUCAUUGUGGGUCUGUUUCAUCCACUGAACUGGUGUUUGGUGACCUCUUCCUGUUGGGAAAUUAAUUUCUUUCAGUUUGGGGAAAUUUCCUUCAAUUAGGAUUCUGAUAAUUUACUUUCCUAUGUAUUCUCCAUUAAGAAUAAGAAGAUUCUGGAAGUUCUUUUAUUCUGUCUGAUAUCCUAGACUGAUCUAAAUUUAUUUUCUCUAAUUUCUCUUUAUGUCUUUGUUAAAUUUUCUCAGAUAUUUACUGAACUUUUUAUUCCAGUCUUUCUAUUGAUCUUUGCUUUCUGCCAUAAUUUUUAUUUUGCAAGCAUUUGUUGUGUUGUUUUAUGAUUGUGUGUGCGCAUUAAAUAGCACCCAGUUCUUAUUUCAUGGAUUUAAUAUCCUCUCUCUGAGGAUAUUAAUGAUAUUUAAAAAUAUUUUGUUCUUCCUGGAUUGUUUCUUUCAACUUUCUUUAUCUUUCUGUUUUGUUUUGGUCUUUUGUGUGUGUGUGGUGGUUAAUUUAUUUUGGGUUUUUUUUAAUUAAAUUUUAUUCAGGUAUGGUUGAUUUACAAUGUUGUGUUCCCCCUGGUCUUUCUUAUGUUAGAAGCUUUUCUCAAAUAUGUGGUGAUCCUUGAUUGUCCAUUUAUAUUCAAGAAUGAGACACCAAAUUGUGGAUGGGGCUUAUUUACUAACUUGGUAUAAAGUAGCUUGGCAAAAACUUUUGAUUGGGAAUUUUUAGGAUUUUUUUACCUUUAGGAUUUUUCUCUUUAGUUGAUCAUAUUCUCCAAAGAAGAAUUUUCUAAUUCUUGGCUAGAGAUUAAUGAAUUUAGUGGUAAGCCAGUAUUCAUAAAGCUGUUAGAGAGGGGACCAGGGGCUCAAUGUUCAUUUUGUAGACUUUUACUUAAUCUCUUGCAAGCUUUAAAUCCCUGUUUUUGGUACAGUUUCCCUGCCCUCAGCUCUGUCUGGUAUCCCCAGUCUAGAGGUCAUCUGUUUACCCUCUCCAAGGAAAAGCCUUCUGUUGGGCUUGGGUAGGGAGAAUCACCCAGAUGCAUAGGAUGUGGUGAAAAAGAGGGGGUCUCUUUAAUCAUUCAUAUUCCUGCUUUUAGCCCCACUUUCAGCACCACUUUGGAUUACCUGUCCUGCUAAUUCCAAGUCUUUUCUACGGUUCUAGUUAAAUUUCUCAAAAUUUUGUUCUUGUCUCCUUUCUUUUGUCUUUGUCCUUGUAGUUUUAUGCUUUUAUCCUUUUCUUUUUUUAAAAGUCUCCUUACUGCUCUUUCACCAGUGUUUUGGAAUUCAGUAGCAAUAAAUUCAUAUGUUUAAAUCUUUAACCAGGAACCUCACUGAUCUCCUUUCCCCAGUGUUACCCGACUCCAAUUCACUUUUACACAACUGCCAGAAUGAUCUUGAUAUAAUGAUACUCUAUUCUAAUCAUCUCUUCAGUAGUUCCCAUUGCCCAAUGAUAAAUUGUUCCUUUGCAUAAUUUACAAACUACUCUGUAUAACCUAAUCUAACCCCUGCUGUUUUCAGCUUCAUCUUUUGUUUGCAGCAUUACUUUUUUUCAUUGAAGUAUAGUUGAUUUACAAUAUUGUGUUGGUUUCAGAAGUAUAGCAUAAUGAUUCCAGUUUUUUGCAGGUUAUAUGCCAUUAUAUGUUAUUACAAAAUAAUGGGUAUACUUCCUUGUGCUAUCCAGUAAAUCUUUGUUGCUUAUCUAUUUUAUGUGUAGUAGUUUAUAUGUGUUAAUCUCAUACCCCUAAUGUGUUCCUUCCUCCCUCCCUUUCCCCUUUGGGAACCCUAAGUUUGUUUGCAAUGCCUGUGAGUAAUAUUUUUGGUUUUCACAAACACUUAAUAUUCUUUUCUCCAUGUUUUUGGAUGUUCAGUUGAUUCUACCUGGCAUAUCCCACCCCAUCAUUGUCUGGUAGCUGCUCCCGUGCCAGACCAUCUCUUCUGUGAACCCUUCCUUGACUCAUCUUUCUAAUAGGUUAUUCUACAUAUGAUAUUAUCAGCAUCUAUCAUACACUGUUGCAGCUGUUUAUUUACAUAUUUGCCUCUCUUACUGAAAUUUGAGAUCCUUGAUGAUAGAGAGUAUAUCUUAGUUAUUUCUAUAUCUUCAGAACUUAGCAGUGUCUGACAUGAACUUGGGAGCCAGUAUAUGUUUUUAAUUUAUUUGUCCCCUGAUAUGUACAUAGCACACUGUACUCAGCUUUUUUUUUUUUUUUUUUUGUCUUUUUGCUAUUUCUUGGGCUGCUCCCGCAGCAUAUGGAGGUUCCCAGGCUAGGGGUCUAAUCGGAGCUGUAGCCUCUGGCCUACGCCAGAGCCACAGCAACGCGGGAUCCGAGCCGCGUCUGCGACCUACACCGCAGCUCACGGCAAUGCCAGUUGCUUACAGUUCCUUCCAAGUAAGUUGUACUAGUUAUAUUUUCACCACCAAUUCAUUAGGGUACUCAUCUUUCUGCACUCCUUUUAUUACUGGUUCUAAAAUCAUUAUCACUACCACUACCAUUAUCAUUAUCAUUCCUUGCUAAAAGUUAUAGGUGAAAAUAUUUCCCUUUAAUUUACAUUCCUCUGAAUAUUAAUGAGGUUGAGUUUUUUAAAAUGUUUAUGAUAGAACAAUGUAAAUCAACUAUAAUAGAAAAAAUAAAAACCUUAAAUCAA
This 5861-nucleotide long non-coding RNA is filed under the name Sus scrofa (pig). RNAcentral's name for it is "lncRNA (ENSSSCG00015032444.1)". The record is from RNAcentral. Lineage: Eukaryota; Metazoa; Chordata; Mammalia; Artiodactyla; Suidae.